GACGAACGCUGGCGGCGUGCUUAAUACAUGCAAGUCGAACGGAAAGGCCCGGCUCUUGCGGCUUGCAUGUUAGCCGAGCGGGGGAGUAAAACGUGUGUAACACCUCCCUGUAUUUGGGGUAACACCUGGAAAAACGGGCGCUAAUCCCGUAUGAUCUCCUGAUGCGUAGGGGGGGAUGGAAAGAGUCGGCGGUUGGGGAUGGAAUCGCGGCAUAUCAGCUUGUUUGUGGGGUAGUUGCUUACCAAGGCUUUGACGGGUAGCCGGCCUGAGAGGGUGACCGGCCACAUUGGGACUGAGAUACGGCCCAGACUCCUACGGGAGGCAGCAGUGGGGAAUAUUGCACAAUGGGCGGAAGCCUGAUGCAGCAACGCCGCGUGCGGGAUGACGGCCUUCGGGUUGUAAACCGCUUUCGCCUGUGACGAAGCGUGAGUGACGGUAAUGGGUAAAGAAGCACCGGCUAACUACGUG
RNAcentral lists this ribosomal RNA (468 nucleotides) under uncultured bacterium. RNAcentral describes it as "partial 16S ribosomal RNA". It matches the Rfam family "Bacterial small subunit ribosomal RNA", at positions 28 to 507 of the family's 1533-position model. The record is from RNAcentral.